Molecule: ribosomal RNA, 234 nt
Filed under: uncultured Lactobacillus sp.
Lineage: Bacteria; Bacillati; Bacillota; Bacilli; Lactobacillales; Lactobacillaceae
Description: partial 16S ribosomal RNA
Rfam family: Bacterial small subunit ribosomal RNA
Source: RNAcentral
CCCAUNAGUCUGGGAUACCACUUGGAAACAGGUGCUAAUACCGGAUAAGAAAGCGGAUCGCAUGAUCAGCUUUUAAAAGGCGGCGUAAGCUGUCGCUAUGGGAUGGCCCCGCGGUGCAUUAGCUAGUUGGUAAGGUAAAGGCUUACCAAGGCGAUGAUGCAUAGCCGAGUUGAGAGACUGAUCGGCCACAUUGGGACUGAGACACGGCCCAAACUCCUACGGGAGGCAGCAGCU